AGCGAACGCUGGCGGCAGGCUUAACACAUGCAAGUCGAACGGGCGUAGCAAUACGUCAGUGGCAGACGGGUGAGUAACGCGUGGGAACGUACCUUUUGGUUCGGAACAGCCCAGGGAAACUUGGGCUAAUACCGGAUAAGCCCUUACGGGGAAAGGAUUUAUCGCCGAAACGAUCGGCCCGCGUCUGAUUAGCUAGUUGGUGAGGUAAUGGCUCACCAAGGCGACGAUCAGUAGCUGGCUGAGAGGAUGAUCAGCAUCACUGGGACUGAGGACACGGCCCAGACUCCUACGGGAGGGCAG
This 300-nucleotide ribosomal RNA is filed under the name uncultured bacterium. RNAcentral's name for it is "bacterial SSU rRNA". It matches the Rfam family "Bacterial small subunit ribosomal RNA", at positions 29 to 354 of the family's 1533-position model. The record is from RNAcentral.